CGACGGGCCUCCUCGCAUGGAAGCGCGGCCAACCGGGUCAGGUGGGGAACCAAGCAGCCCUAACCGUUGUGACCAGUGCCGAGAUCAGGCUCGUCACCUU
Molecule: signal recognition particle RNA, 100 nt
Filed under: Burkholderiales bacterium JOSHI_001
Lineage: Bacteria; Pseudomonadati; Pseudomonadota; Betaproteobacteria; Burkholderiales
Description: Bacterial signal recognition particle RNA
Rfam family: Bacterial small signal recognition particle RNA
About the family: The signal recognition particle (SRP) is a universally conserved ribonucleoprotein involved in the co-translational targeting of proteins to membranes. Archaeal SRP consists of a 7S RNA and homologues of the eukaryotic SRP19 and SRP54 proteins. In most bacteria, the SRP consists of a 4.5S RNA and the Ffh protein (a homologue of the eukaryotic SRP54 protein).
Source: RNAcentral